This 5017-nucleotide long non-coding RNA is filed under the name Citrus sinensis (sweet orange). RNAcentral's name for it is "long non-coding RNA (CSIN_LNC002751)". Lineage: Eukaryota; Viridiplantae; Streptophyta; Magnoliopsida; Sapindales; Rutaceae. The record is from RNAcentral.
UUUUUUUUUUUUUUAAUGUGGACACGACCUUGAAGCUUGGCUGUGCAAUUGAUGGUUUAAUCUUUUGAUACCGUUAGACGUCCCAUGUUUUGGCAUACUUCUAAUUACAAUAAUGAUAACACUUACCUCUUGUACCUAGCUACCCAUUCCAAAUUAACCAGUCCUUAAUUACAUUUCCCUUUACAAUUAAUCUGCAAGCUCAUCAAAUCAGGAAAUCAUUAAUGUCAGUAAUAUCCUUGUAAUUAACUGCGUUAACUUGUCAUCUAAAUAAAAGAAAAAUAAUCAUUUUGGAAAACCGACCCAGCAUAUAACAAGACCAUUUGCAUAACAAAGUACCAUGAAAUUUCUCAAGCUGGGGGUACUUCAUCAUAUCUUUCGUAGAAACAAUGAAAUUAUAUUAAAGCAAAAACAAGGUAAGUGAGUUACUAUAAAGUUUCGUAUGUAAUUAUUUAUAUAUAUAUUAAAUGUGAAUAUGAAACAUUCCAAUUCGUUGAACACAUGGUGGCACGCAUACGCAAGGACUUUUUAAAGACCUAGUCAAUUUCCCAGUCAUUUCCUUAAACAACUUUCAUAUCAUGUGUCGAUCAAUGAAUCAAUUCCCUGUUAUUUUUUUUUUUUCUAUAAAUACCCACAUAAUGCACAAAGAACCAUAAAUUAAAAUACUACGUAUACAAGAGAGAGCUAGAGCUGCAGCUAGCAGCAAAUUAAAUAUAGAAAGUUGGGGCACUUAUAUCGCAGGGGAGAUGGGACCAACUGCAGCCGCUAGGUAGCAGCCGGUGCCAUCCUCCUGCGAUAUGAGAACCCUCCAACUUACUCUUGUCCAAAUUAAAAUUACUCUCAUUAUUAUUUAUUCUCUUGCGUGUUUAUUAAUUACUUGUUGGGAGCACUUUUGAGUUUUGUUGCAGGAGAGACGGCACCAGCUGCUUUGCAAGUACAUACCGCGCUGCAGAAGCAGCUGGUGCCAUUUCUUCUGCAACUUAAAUUCGAAUAUCCUUAAUUUGCUCUCUCGCUAUUAUUCUAGCUCCGCCUGUAAACUCUCCAUAAGAUAUGUAUGUAUGUGUACAUAUAUAAUUACUCUGUAAUCAGUUCAUCUUGUUCAUCUUUUGUUUCCUUACUUUCUUUAAAAGUUCCGGCUUUCUCGUUCGGAUAUCUACGCAUAUUUUCUUUUCUUUUCUUUUUUCUUUUAAUAAAAACUUAUUUAAUUUCUCAUUUUCCUACUACACCAACUCUUAUUUGCUAGCUAGAUUAAUUUCCAUAUAGAUUAAAGGUUGCUUAAGGAAAUUAAAACAUAGCACUAAGGUACGCUUAGUUUUUCGAUAACCAGCUGAUUUUAACUGUUAAUAAUGGUGUUUAAGAAACGCUCAUCAAUAAUUCUUCCGAAAGUAAUACUUCAAUUCCAAAACUACUGUGCGGUUUAUUUCAAAUUAAUUACAGUACCGCAGUACCUUGAGUUUGAUUAUCUUGGCAUCUUGCUGCUGUUAUUUAAUGUAUAUAUAUUGAUUCUCUUACUUGAUAUAUAUUGAUUUCCUUACCAAAUUUUCCCCAAAUUUUCAGUAGAUUAAUUGAUACUAUCUGAGAAUGUUAUAAUGAAACUACUUGCAUGUCUGAUGAACAGACAUUGAUGCAUGUAGCAAAAACUUUGGCAUACAAAAAAGAGAGAAAACUUAAAAAAGACAUGUAAUAUAUACAUCUAUUUGAGAAGAAGAAGAAAAAGAUAAUACCAACCUUUCAUUUCUCUGCUAAUUUUAAUAAAUUAAUUUCUUUCUUUCCUUCUUUCUUUUUCUCCUUUUUGGUUUUUUGUUUUGAACCACAUUGAAAUUUCGUUUAAACAAACAAAUUAAGGUAAAAUAACAUAGUUAGAAUAUAAAUCAAGAUUGAUUUACAAACAAUCGCCUAUUGGCCAAACUAUUAUAUUAAUUGUACUUUUACACCGAAGAUACCAGGUAAGGAAGCUGAUGUAGUUGAGAAAAUGAUGAUUGCAUACCAGAUCUGAGCUUCAAAAUAGACGCCUCCUUCUUUAUCAGAUUUGGUUCUUCUAACUAGUAUCAUGAUGGAUUUCACAGAGAUCAAUUGUUAUUGAAUGAAUCUUCUAGAUCUGUGCCUGAAGAAAAACAAAAACAAAAACAAAAUUAUGGGAACUGAUAUUCAGGAAAACCCUAACCCUAACGAUUUUUUUAAAAAAAGAGCAUGACAUCCCCAAUGUUUUUGGAGGCAUAAACUUAUGAGCUUUUUUUAACAUAAUUUUACUUGUUUUAUCCAAAUGAAAAAUUAAAGCAGAUGAGUGACAGAAUUAAAGAGAAAGAGAUGAAGAAAGUUGAUAAUUAACAAAACCUAAUUUCGUGUACUUAAAUGUCACUGUGCUGCAGCAACUCAAACCAAAAUCAGUAGACUGACGACAUUUGAUAUAUAUAUAUAGAGGAUGAAGGGAGUCUUGUCACCGGGAGAUGGCGCUUACGGCGUUAUUUAUGCACAACUUAGUUAAUGCAAUUAAGAGGUAGUAGGUGCUAUCUCUCCGGCGACAAGAAUCCCUGUAGCCCCCCUCUCUCUCCUGCUCCCUUGCCGCAAGCUAUGACUGCCUUUGUGUAUGAAAAUUGACCGAUUUAUAGAGAGAGCAUUGUGUUUGCCUUUGCAAAGUGCAUACGUGUACGUGCAUGCGUCAUAUGCUGUAAGCAUUGAUGAAUGAUCCAUUGAUAAUAAUCUAGUGGAGUAUAACAACUAUAAUUUUUUGUCGUUAAUUUAUUAUUUUUCUUAGAUAUUUACUUUUUGAUAUUUAUUUAUUUUCUUUGAAAAUAUGAAUCUUUUCUGAAUAGAACAAUUUGACUUCUUUCUUUAUGCAAAGUCCAAAUCAUCAACUAGGUUAUAAAAUUUGGUGUGAUAAUAAAAUAAGUAAUUUUUUUAAUUAAAAAAAUUAAUGAAUAAUUCAAAUUCCUCUCCUCCAACGUGAGAGGAGUUCAAAUCUCAAAUUUGUUAUUCGACCCUAAAAGAUUUUACAUUGUUAUAAUAACUAGCCUAGCACCAGCAAUAAAAUUUUCAUGAUGCGUGAAAAUAGGUGAUUUGAUCUCCAUAUUUACGGAGAUGUUUCUACCUCAGAUCAAAUUAAAGUCGAAUAGUUGUGCUCAUAAUGCAUAUAUUUUCAAUAUUCUAAGCUUGAAGCGUGUGCAUGAACAGAAUUAGGCUUUGUAUGCUCUACCUUUCAUCUCAAAAAAGGUAAAUAAAUGGUGCAAGACAGAUCAUGAAAUGCUUGGAAAAGACGAUGAAGAUUUAACAAUUAUUGACCACAAAAUACCUUUUUUUGACCUUUUGCUAAAGCAGAAAUAAUUUCUAACCAUAUUAAAUUAUAUAUUAUUCAACCUUUUAAAAUUAAUGGUCUGUAAAGAAGCAUUAAUACGUCAACUUUUCAUGGGUACCAUUUAACCCUGCUAAUUACGCUCAUUGCGGUAGGCAAAAGUUCGACAUUCUCGAUUUUGUACAACAUAACUCAGUUGAAUCAAAGAUUAUUGGAUUACAUGGUAUAAUGGGGGAGUCAAACAAAUUGAAAAUGUUCUUAGAUCAAUUAGUUGAUUAAUGAAAUGGCCACUCACCCUAAUGGGGUAGGCGAGCUAAUAUUCAGAUUCUUGCAAAUAUGUAUUCCCGUUUACAGAUCUUUCUUCAGGGAUAAAAUCCACAGAAUCUUUAAAGCCUUAUGCUCCGUCUUGUAUUCGAUCUGGUGCUGUGAUUAAUCCAUAAGAUUGCUAUUGACAAAAAAAAAAAAAUCACUACUCUAAUUGACAGAAAAAAUUAAGUUGAGAUCUAAUUAAAUCUAAUAUAUAUAAAACUGAUAGAAUAGAUAUCUAAAAAGAAAUUCAACACGACAUAUAAAAAUAAAUUAAAAGAAAAAUUGGGGAAUGGAAAACCAACACAAACAAAUUAAGUCUCUCACUCUGACCUUAUAACCUCAAUGAUUAUUAAAAACGAAGUUCAACCCACAUAGGUGGAUUAAGAAUAUGGCAGGGAUUUCUUUUAAAGAAGCACUCAAUAUUUCCAUCUUCCAUGUUAUAGAUUCCCAUAUCUAUACCUCCACCUCCUGUCUGAAUCUUGAUAUUCAUGCUCAAAUAAGACUGAAGAAUGUAAUCUACAGUUAAUGAACAGUUUUCCUGGCUGAGAUCGGGGGAAAUUUUAAUAAGCCAUCCCCGGGAAGAAAAAUUACCUUGCAUGGUUUGCUGAUUCUGGUAAAGCUACAAGGCUACUUCUGCCCUUUGAAAGACUGAAGAAUGUAAUCCCUACAUUAUCAUUAUGAUGGUCUUCUGCUAAUGAUACUUCCCGAGGAAACAUAAGCCAAGCAAUCUGCUGACAAGAUUUGUACUUGAUGUUGAAAUUGUCCUGCGGAUUCGCUGCCUAGCUUCGAUCUCCAUGAGGUGCAAGCACCAGCAAAAGAUUCAAAAUCCUCCCACAGCUGUAUCCUACUUGCAAUUUCAAACACAAGGCUGCAAUCAAGUUCUGCUCAAUUGCGAGCUUCGGCCACCUGCGAUGUCAUGUGGCUAUUACCUAGCUACGGAUUAAUUUCCAAGCUUUUAUACUGUAGUUUUAUAUAUUAAUAGCCCUCUUUUGAUUUACAGACAGAACACAACUGAUCUGAUCUCAAAAUUAAUUAAGUGGAUUAACUAGGAGAUUUCCCGGUUGCAUGCGGAUUUCAAGUUGGAGUUGGAUUUGGAUUCGGAUUCGGAUUCGGAGUCACUCUUCUUUCUUUGUUCACGUUUCUGCAAUAGGCCUAGAAUAUAUAUCUUUUCUUCUCAAAAUGCUAUCUACACAGUAUAACCUUGAUAGACUUGGUUUUUUUAAGCAGGCCAAAACCACACUUAUAUAUAUUAACAUACAUUUCACGAUAUUAAUAUUUCAAGUAUAAUCUAAUAGCCAAAGAACAGUUGAGUUCCAAAAAUAAAUAGGUCCCAAACAAACCAAAGACAGUUCUAAAUGCCAGCUGCUUUAACUUAUCAACUUUAGAGCCAUCACCAUCUGUUUGGAGGUCCAAUCAAAAGGC